UCUCCGUUGGUGAACCAGCGGAGGGAUCAUUACUGAGUUACCGCUCUACAACCCCUUGUGAACAUACCUAACUGUUGCUUCGGCGGGCAGAGGUCCCUCGCGGAUCUCUCCCGGCAACGCCCUCACGGGCGGAGCGCCCGCCGGAGGAUACCAAACUCUAUUUUAACGACGUUUCUUCUGAGAGGCACAAGCAAAUAAUUAAAACUUUUAACAACGGAUCUCUUGGUUCUG
This 231-nucleotide unclassified non-coding RNA is filed under the name plant metagenome. RNAcentral describes it as "partial contains small subunit ribosomal RNA, internal transcribed spacer 1, and 5.8S ribosomal RNA". The record is from RNAcentral.